AUGAGGAGCAAUGAGUCACAUAUUUUGGAACUGCUGUGGGGGGUUGAGAACCGUAUGGCAGUUCACGAGUUGUUGGCACUCACAUAGGCAAACUCCCCCGGGCUUGUCUUCCUUUGUGAGAUGAGACAAGCCUCAGUUCGAGUUGAGAAGUUGAAAUAGAGAUUGGGCUUGAGAGGGUAUACUGGUGUGGACAGUAAUGGAUUGAGUGGUGUAUUAGCUCUAUUCUGGAAUGAAACUCUACAAGUAAAUCCGUUGGACAAGUGUGACAGAUACAUUGAUACUAAUAUUGUGGAUCAUGGUUGUUGGGAAAUGUAG
Molecule: ribosomal RNA, 315 nt
Filed under: Triticum aestivum (bread wheat)
Lineage: Eukaryota; Viridiplantae; Streptophyta; Magnoliopsida; Poales; Poaceae
Description: partial small subunit ribosomal RNA
Source: RNAcentral